Molecule: ribosomal RNA, 382 nt
Filed under: uncultured eukaryote
Lineage: Eukaryota
Description: partial 18S ribosomal RNA
Rfam family: Eukaryotic small subunit ribosomal RNA
Source: RNAcentral
CAAUAGCGUAUAUUAAAGUUGUUGCAGUUAAAAAGCUCGUAGUUGGAUUUCUGGUUGAAGCGACCGGUCGGGCGUUGAUUCGUCUGCACUGGAGUCGGUUUUGGCCAUCCUCUAGGAAAGUGCGUCUGGUAUUAAGUUAUCGGGCGUGUGAUCCUGGUCUUUUACUGUGAAAAAAUUAGAGUGUUUAAAGCAGGCCUUCGCCUUGAAUACAUUAGCAUGGAAUAAUAAGAUAGGACUUUGGUCUAUUUUGUUGGUUUGCAGACCGAAGUAAUGAUUAAUAGGGAUAGUUGGGGGUAUUUAUAUUCCGAUGUCAGAGGUGAAAUUCUUAGAUUUUCGGAAGAUAAACUUAUGCGAAAGCAUUUACCAAGGAUGUUUUCAUUAA